RNAcentral lists this ribosomal RNA (822 nucleotides) under uncultured bacterium. Its description in RNAcentral is "bacterial SSU rRNA". It matches the Rfam family "Bacterial small subunit ribosomal RNA", at positions 11 to 804 of the family's 1533-position model. The record is from RNAcentral.
GUUUGUCCUGGCUCAGAACGGGCGCUGGCAGCGUGGAUGAGGCAUGCAAGUCGAACGGGAUCGAGUCUAGUAGUAAUACCUGACUCGUGAGAGUGGCGGAAGGGCGAGUAAUGCGAGAGUAAGCUACCCUUCAGUUCGGGACAACGUUUGGAAACGGACGCUAAUACCGGAUACGAAGUACGGACGAAUGUUCGUAUCUUGAAAGGCGGGGCCCCGCGAGGGCCUGUCGCCGGGGGAGGCGCUCCCGUGCCAUCAGCUAGUUGGUGAGGUAACGGCUCACCAAGGCUCACGGCUAGGUGGACUGAGAGGUUGGUCACCCGCACUGGGACUGAGACACUGCCCAGACUCCUACGGGAGGCUGCAGUCGAGGAUCAUUCGCAAUGGGGGAAACCCUGACGAUGCGACGCUGCGUGGAGGAUGAAGGCCCUCGGGUCGUAAACUCCUGUCAUGUGGGACAAGACGGCGGCCGCGAACAGCGGCGCGCCAUUGAUGGUACCACAAGAGGAAGCCACGGCUAACUACGUGCCAGCAGCCGCGGUAAUACGUAGGUGGCAAGCGUUGUCCGGAUUUACUGGGCGUAAAGGGAGCGUAGGCGGACCUUUAAGUGAGAUGUGAAAUACCCGAGCUCAACUUGGGUGCUGCAUUUCAAACUGGAGGUCUAGAGUGUCGGAGAGGUAAGUGGAAUUCCUAGUGUAGCGGUGAAAUGCGUAGAGAUUAGGAAGAACCCCGGUGGCGAAGGCGACUUACUGGACGAUAACUGACGCUGAGGCUCGAAAGCGUGGGGAGCAAACAGAAGUAGAUACCCUGGUAGUCCACGCCGUA